Non-coding RNA from Pelobates cultripes (western spadefoot toad), 524 nucleotides. Lineage: Eukaryota; Metazoa; Chordata; Amphibia; Anura; Pelobatidae. The record is from the annotation of a GenBank genome assembly.
GUACAUUUAAUUAACCCCAUACACGCCAGACCUGAAGUACAUUUUAUUAACCCUACACAUUCCAAACUUGAAGUACAUUUUAUUAACCUUACACACGCCAGAUCUUUACAAAGUACAUUUUAUUAACCCCACACACGCCAGAUAUUUACAAAGUACAUUUUAUUAACCCCACACACGCCAGAUAUUUACAAAGUACAUCUUAUUAACCCCACAUGCCAGAUCUUUAACGAAGUAUAUUUUAUUAACCCCACACAUGCCAGACCUGAAGCACAUUUUAUUAACCCCACACAUGCCAGAUCUUUGCAAAGUACAUUUUUUAUUAACCCCACACACAUCAGAUCUUUACAAAGUACAUUUUAAUAACCCUACACACACCAGAUCUGUAACAAAGUAAAGUUUGUUACGCGAGAUCUCUAAUGAAGUACAUUUUAGUAACCCCACACACGCCACAUCUAUAACGAAGUACAUUUUAUUAGCCCUACACACACCAGAUCUUUACAAAGUACAUAUUAUUAACCCCACAC